Molecule: ribosomal RNA, 460 nt
Filed under: uncultured bacterium
Lineage: Bacteria
Description: partial 16S ribosomal RNA
Rfam family: Bacterial small subunit ribosomal RNA
Source: RNAcentral
CCUACGGGUGGCAGCAGUGAGGAAUAUUGCUCAAUGGGCGCGAGCCUGAACCAGCAACGCCGCGUGAGUGAUGAAGGUUUUAUGGACCGUAAACCCUUUUUUUAAGGGAAUAAGGUGUGGGACGUGUCUUAUCUUGUAUGUACCUUAUGAAUCAGGAUCGGCUAACCUCGUUCCAGCAGCCGCGGUAAUACGGUGGAUCCGAGCGUUAUCCGGAUUUAUUGGGUUUAAAGGGUGCGUAGGCGGCCUUUUAAGUCAGCGGUGAAAGUCUGUGGCUCAACCGGAGAAUUGUCUUUGAAACUGGGGGACUUGAGUGUGUAUGAGGCGGGCGGAAUGCGAGGUGUAGCGGUGAAAUGCUUAGAUAUCACGCAGAACCCCAGUUGCGAAGGCGGCCUGCCAGGCCGUGACUGACGCUGAUGCACGAAAGCGUGGGGAGCAAACAGGAUUAGAUACCCGAGUAGUC